Molecule: ribosomal RNA, 253 nt
Filed under: uncultured bacterium
Lineage: Bacteria
Description: partial 16S ribosomal RNA
Rfam family: Bacterial small subunit ribosomal RNA
Source: RNAcentral
UACGUAGGUGGCAAGCGUUGUCCGGAUUUAUUGGGUUUAAAGGGUGCGUAGGCGGUCUUAUAAGUCAGUGCUGAAAUAUCCCGGCUUAACCGGGAUGGUGGCAUUGAUACUGUAGGACUUGAGUAAAGUUGAGGUUGGCGGAAUUGACGGUGUAGCGGUGAAAUGCUUAGAUAUCGUCAAGAACACCGAUAGUGUAGACAUCUAACUAAGCUUUAACUGACGCUGAGGCACGAAAGUGUGGGGAUCAAACAGG